AUGGCCGUGUCCUCGGCUCUCAGGCUGUUCAUCUGCAGAUACACUGUGUUCCUGGCGUUGUCUCUGGAGAUGGUGAAUCGGCCCUUCACAGCCAGAGUCCUCGGCUCUCAGGCUGUUCAUCUGCAGAUAGAGCGUGUUCUUGGCGUUGUCUCUGGAGAUGGUGAAUCGGCCCUUCACAGCCUGUGGGUAGUAUGUGCUACUUCCAUCACUGCUAAUCCCUGCGACCCACUGCAGAUAGAGCGUGUUCUUGGCGUUUUCUCUGGAGAUGGUGAAUCGGCCCUUCACUGUGUCUGCGUAGUAUAUGCUACCUCCACCACUGUUAAUAAUUGCGACCCACUCCAGCCUUUUCCCUGGAGCCUGGAGGACCCAGUGCAUCCAGUAGCUACUGAAGGUGAAUCCAGAGGACACACAAGAAAGUCUCAGAGACCCCCCAGGCUUCACCAGGUCUCCCCCAGACUCUACCAGCUGCAACUCACCCUGGACACCUGCAGGCACAAGACAUCCUGGUCAGGAAACAGUCCCACAUCCCCUGUUUCUCUCACUCACCUGCACUCACAUACUCAAGGUCCCUUGUUCUCCAUGAAUUACCUUUUAAAAUAGCAACAAGGAAAACCUAGCCGAGCACAGACUCCAUGGUGGUUUGUCUGUUUUCUCUCCUGAUCCCUGAAUGGGGUCACCUGGGGAUCCUGGGGCUGGGGCUCCUCUCCCAGCUGCAGGGUCCAAGCUGGGCCGGUGUAAUCAGUGUAGGGAGGGCCCUAUUUGCAUGUCCUCUGAGUACAUAACCAGCUCCAGACUCGAUUCAAUACUUUAGAAGUUAUAUACGAGCAUUACUUCCUAACCCUAGGUAACUCUUUUGGUGGCACUGUGGAUUUAUGAUGUUCCAAUCCAUUACCAUAUUUACCUUUGCAUUUCUCUCUGCCUUUUUAAAAGCCUUUCAUUAAUAUAGUUCAUUUUAAAGAACAUUUUCUCUCCUUAAUGUAGCUUAAUCUAAAUAUUUAUUUUUGAUACAAGUGUAAAGGGGAUUAUUUUAUGUAUUUUAAAAAGAACAUAUGUCGUUACUGUGUAGAAAUUAACUUUAUUGUCUAUGUUGAUUUGAUAUCCUGAAUUUUCCCUGCGCUCAAUACUUACCCCUAAGUGUUUUUUUCAAUGAUUUGCCUCAUUGACUAUGUAUAUGCAAAUUAUUUUUCUUCCUUUGACUGAUUUUAAUAUCUUUUAUUUUAGGGAUCCCUGGGUGGCGCAGGGGUUUGGCACCUGCCUUUGGCCCAGGGCGCGAUCCUGGAGACCCGGGAUCGAAUCCCACAUCGGGCUCCGGGUGCAUGGAGCCUGCUUCUCCCUCUGCCUGUGUCUCUGCCUCUCUCUCUCUCUGUGACUAUCAUGAAUAAAUAAAAAAUUAAAAGAAAUUAAAAAAUAUAUCUUUUAUUUUAUUAUUGCCUAAUUUCUAUGGUAAUCUUCGACUUAGUGGCAUAUCCUUUUUCCCACUUUUCUGUCAGAUUCUUUGUUCUAAUAUUUCAUUUGAUAUAUAGCAGAUGUAGGAGAGCAAAUGAAUUUCUUUUUGCAUGUGGAUGAGCUCCCUAAUAUAUGGUGUGAUGUGGGAUCUCAGGACAGGACAGGAAGUCUGUUCACAACUUCUGCCCGAUUCUGAUGGGAUAUAUAUCCUUGAUGUGUGUUGAGAUUGAUAAGUUCAUUGUAGAUUUGAAUUCGAGCCUUUAAUCUGAUAAGAAAUUUCCAAAUAUCUUCUUCCAUUUUGUAGGCUGACUAUUAAUUACACUGAGUGAUUCCUAUGCUAUGAAAAUUCUCUUUCCUUGAUGAAGUCCCCAUAGUUCAUUUUCCUUUUCUUUCCCUAGCCUCUGGAGACACGUCUAGAAGUGGCUGCAGCUGAGGUAGAAAAGGUGCUUCCUGUGUUUUCUUAGUAUUCUGAUGGUUUCCUGAGUCACAUUUAGGUCUUUCAUCAACUUUGAGUCCAUUGUUGUGAAUGAUAUAAGAAAAGGGUCCCUUUUCAUUAUUCUGCAUGUGGGUCUCCAAUAUUCCCAACAACAUUGUUGAGGAGACUUUUUUCCAUUGGAUAUUCUUUCUUGCUUUGUCAAGGUUUUUUGACCACAGAGUUCAGGGUCCACUUCUGGGUUCUCAAGCUUUUCUAUUUAUCUAUACGUCAGUAUUUGUGCCUGUGCCAUACUGUCCUGAUGAUCACAACAUUGUAAUUUAUCUUGACAGCUAGAAUCAGGAUAUCUACAGCUUUGCUUUAGUUAAGGAUUGCUUUGGCUAUUUGAGGUCUUUGUGGUUCUCCAAAAAAUUUCUGAUUGUUUUCUCUAGCUCUGUGAAAAAUGCUGGUUAUAUUAUUAUACAGAUGGCUUUGAAUGUGUCACUUGCUUUUGGUACCAUAGACAUUUUAUCAAUAUUCAUUCUUCUAAUCCAUUAUAAUAAAUAUUUUCUUUUUUUUUUUAAGAUGCGUUACCUUUUUUUUAAGAUUUUAUUUAUUCAUGAGAGACACAGAGAGAGAGAGAGGCAGAGGCAUAGGCAGAGGGUGAAGCAGGCUCCAUGCAGGGAGCCCGAUGUGGGACUCGAUCCCGGGUCUCCAGGAUCACGCCCUGGGCCAAAGGCGGCGCUAACCCGCUGAGCCACCCGGGCUGCCCUAAUAAAUAUUUUCUAUCUCCUUUUUUAUUCCUUCUUGUCUUUCAUAAGUGUUCUGCAGUGUUUAGAAUAUAGAUCCAUCCCUCUUCGUUUACGAUUUUUCCUAACCAUCUGAUGAUUUCUGGUGCACUUAUAAAUUGCAUCCAGUCCUUGAUUUUCUUUUUUCUGCUUCAUUUGAACUAUAGAGAAGAGCCACUGACUUCCUUGUAUUGAUUUUACAUGCUCCGAUCUUGCUGAAUUCUGGUAUCAGUUCUAGGAAUUUUUUUUCAAAGUAAUCUUUGGGAUUUGAACUUAAAGAUCUUGUGGUGUAUUAAGAGUUAAAGUUUGGCUUUUUCUUUGCUUAGUUGGAAGACAUUUCCUUCUCUUUGUUGUCUGAUUGUUGAGGCUAGGACUUCUAGCAGUAUGGUGAAGAACUGUGGUGAUGGUGGACAUCCCUGUCCUGUUCCUGAUCUUAGGAGAAAGCUCUCAACUUUUCCCGGUUGAGGAAGACAUUCUCCAUGUGUCUCUGUAGAUUUAUUUUAUGAUGUUGAG
This 3159-nucleotide long non-coding RNA is filed under the name Canis lupus familiaris (dog). Its description in RNAcentral is "lncRNA (ENSCAFG00030001816.1)". The record is from RNAcentral. Lineage: Eukaryota; Metazoa; Chordata; Mammalia; Carnivora; Canidae.